UACGUAGGGUGCGAGCGUUAAUCGGAAUUACUGGGCGUAAAGCGUGCGCAGGCGGUUCGUGAUGUCUGGUGUGAAAGCCCCGGGCUUAACCUGGGAAUUGCAUUGGAAACUAGCGGGCUGGAGUGUGGCAGAGGGGGGUGGAAUUCCACGUGUAGCAGUGAAAUGCGUAGAGAUGUGGAGGAACACCGAUGGCGAAGGCAGCCCCCUGGGCUAACACUGACGCUCAUGCACGAAAGCGUGGGGAGCAAACAGG
RNAcentral lists this ribosomal RNA (253 nucleotides) under Betaproteobacteria bacterium. RNAcentral's name for it is "partial 16S ribosomal RNA". It matches the Rfam family "Bacterial small subunit ribosomal RNA", at positions 524 to 776 of the family's 1533-position model. RNAcentral also lists the same sequence under 1 other name. The record is from RNAcentral. Lineage: Bacteria; Pseudomonadati; Pseudomonadota; Betaproteobacteria.